RNAcentral lists this ribosomal RNA (330 nucleotides) under uncultured eukaryote. RNAcentral's name for it is "partial 18S ribosomal RNA". It matches the Rfam family "Eukaryotic small subunit ribosomal RNA", at positions 1470 to 1796 of the family's 1831-position model. The record is from RNAcentral.
CCCUUAGAUGUUCGGGGCCGCACGCGCGCUACACUGAAGGAAUCAGCACGUCUUUCUCCUUGUCCGAAAGGACUGGGUAACCCGCUGAACCUCCUUCGUGCUAGGGAUUGGGGCUUGUAAUUCUUCCCCAUGAACGAGGAAUUCCCAGUAAGCGCGAGUCAUAAGCUCGCGUUGAUUACGUCCCUGCCCUUUGUACACACCGCCCGUCGCUACUACCGAUUGGAUGGUUUAGUGAGAUCCUCGGAUUGGUCCCGGAGCGGCCUCUGGUCGUGCCGGAGUGCCGAAAAGAAUGUCGAACUUGAUCAUCUAGAGGAAGUAAAAGCCGUAACA